CGAGGGGCAUCAGGAUGUAGCAAUACAUUGCUGGCGACCGGCGCACGGGUGAGUAACACGUAUCCAACCUGCCUUUUACUCGGGGAUAGGCUUUCGAAAGAAAGAUUAAUACCCGAUGGUAUAAUAUUUCCGCAUGGGAUUAUUAUUAAAGAAUUUCGGUAAAAGAUGGGGAUGCGUUCCAUUAGGCAGUUGGCGGGGUAACGGCCCACCAAACCUUCGAUGGAUAGGGGUUCUGAGAGGAAGGUCCCCCACAUUGGAACUGAGACACGGUCCAAACUCCUACGGGAGGCAGCAGUGAGGAAUAUUGGUCAAUGGGCGAGAGCCUGAACCAGCCAAGUAGCGUGAAGGAUGACUGCCCUAUGGGUUGUAAACUUCUUUUAUAGGGGAAUAAAAUGAGCCACGUGUGGCUUUUUGUAUGUACCCUAUGAAUAAGGAUCGGCUAACUCCGUGCCAGCAGCCGCGGUAAUACGGAGGAUCCGAGCGUUAUCCGGAUUUAUUGGGUUUAAAGGGAGCGUAGGUGGACAUGUAAGUCAGUUGUGAAAGUUUGCGGCUCAACCGUAAAAUUGCAGUUGAUACUGUGUGUCUUGAGUACAGUAGAGGUGGGCGGAAUUCGUGGGUAGCGG
This 623-nucleotide ribosomal RNA is filed under the name Bacteroides sp. RNAcentral's name for it is "bacterial SSU rRNA". It matches the Rfam family "Bacterial small subunit ribosomal RNA", at positions 63 to 681 of the family's 1533-position model. Lineage: Bacteria; Pseudomonadati; Bacteroidota; Bacteroidia; Bacteroidales; Bacteroidaceae. The record is from RNAcentral.